Molecule: RNA transcript, 1284 nt
Organism: Zingiber officinale
Lineage: Eukaryota; Viridiplantae; Streptophyta; Magnoliopsida; Zingiberales; Zingiberaceae
Gene name: CDP-diacylglycerol--glycerol-3-phosphate 3-phosphatidyltransferase 2-like
Exons: 7
Source: RefSeq, a predicted model, not a curated record
CCAGGCCGCAACUCCAAUUAAUUAGCAUCUCGCAACCGAAGGGCAGAAGCGCGGCGCGAUCAGCGGGCGCGAGGUGAGGCGUGGUCGCUGUAGAUGUCUCCCGGUUCUGGGCGGGCGCCUCUCUCGGCCUCGCACGGCACGUCUUCCACGUUGGGCUAUGGCGCUGCUGACGGGGGCGCAAGAAAACGGGCGGCUGGUGGUGACCUGGGGGCUGCGGGAGAGGCGAGCGCCAUGGGUUCCUGUUACGGCAGCCGGAACUGGAAACCGGAGGUCGAAAUGAACGGGAGCGGUAUCGAUGGUAGGCAAUCACAGAAUCAGAACGACACACCGAGGUUGCUGACUCUUCCGACGGUUCUCACUAUCGGCCGGGUGGUCGCCGUCCCCAUCCUCGUGAGCACUUUCUACAUGGAUGGUUCGCUGGGAACAACUGUUACAACAAUCAUAUUUCUUCUUGCUGCAAUCACAGAUUGGCUAGAUGGUUAUAUUGCACGUAAGUUGAGACUAGGAACAGCAUUUGGUGCAUUUUUGGAUCCUGUGGCCGACAAGCUUAUGGUUGCUGCGACAUUGGUUUUACUCUGCACCAAACCUUUGGAGUGUGCUGUGUUUAGAGAAUUUCAUUGGCUUCUGACAGCACCUUCAAUUGCUAUAAUUGGUAGAGAGAUAACUAUGUCAGCUGUUAGAGAGUGGGCAGCAUCACAGAAUAGUAGAGUUAUUGAGAUCUUAAUAACAGGCUGUAGCAGUAAAUAAUCUGGGAAAGUGGAAAACAGCAACGCAAAUGACUUCACUAACUAUUCUUCUUGCAAGUAGAGAUCCCAGACUCAAACAGCAGUGUGUUUUCGUCGCCUUUGGUGUCGCUUUGCUUUAUGCUUCAGCUGGUCUUGCUGUGUGGUCGCUAAUCAUCUACAUGAGAAAGAUAUGGAGAGUUUUGCUCAAGUAGUUAUCUUCCAGUGGAACGCAAGCAUACAAAGAAUGAAUCACACAAAAAGACAAUGGGGAUUUUAGUCGUGUCCCGACGCUGUGUCAACAAAAACUCUGAGAUUCUUUGCAUCAUAAACCCUAUUGCACUGAUGGCAUUUCAAGAUCUUGCAAAGGAUUGGUUAUGAGAUGCUAACAGACUAGAGAUGCUUCUUUUUUCUUCAGAAGACUGCUGUUUAACAUGACUAAUGGUAUUUAUAGAUUGGUUGGAAGAGAAAAUUGAAGAUCUUUCGUACUUAAAUGUUUGAAGAUCUGACAACUAUAUACUCUUAUGAGACUCAUAAUGACUUGAUAUGCAUGGGUUCUUUA